Molecule: ribosomal RNA, 404 nt
Filed under: uncultured bacterium
Lineage: Bacteria
Description: bacterial SSU rRNA
Rfam family: Bacterial small subunit ribosomal RNA
Source: RNAcentral
UGGGGAAUAUUGGGCAAUGGACGCAAGUCUGACCCAGCAACGCCGCGUGAAGGAAGAAGGCUUUCGGGUUGUAAACUUCUUUUAACAGGGAAGAGUAGAAGACGGUACCUGUUGAAUAAGCCACGGCUAACUACGUGCCAGCAGCCGCGGUAAUACGUAGGUGGCGAGCGUUGUCCGGAAUUAUUGGGCGUAAAGGGAGCGUAGGUGGGAAAGUAAGUCAGUUGUGAAAGUUUGCGGCUCAACCGUAAAAUUGCAGUUGAAACUGUUUUUCUUGAGUAUAGAUGAGGUAGGCGGAAUUCGUGGUGUAGCGGUGAAAUGCUUAGAUAUCACGAAGAACUCCAAUUGCGAAGGCAGCUCACUAGACUGCAACUGACACUGAGGCUCGAAAGUGUGGGUAUCAAACA